RNAcentral lists this ribosomal RNA (679 nucleotides) under uncultured Alphaproteobacteria bacterium. RNAcentral describes it as "bacterial SSU rRNA". It matches the Rfam family "Bacterial small subunit ribosomal RNA", at positions 50 to 775 of the family's 1533-position model. Lineage: Bacteria; Pseudomonadati; Pseudomonadota; Alphaproteobacteria. The record is from RNAcentral.
AACACAUGCAAGUCGAGCGGGCCCUUCGGGGUCAGCGGCGGACGGGUGAGUAACGCGUGGGAACGUGCCUUCUGGUCUGGAAUAACCCUGGGAAACUAGGGCUAAUACCGGAUACGCCCUUUUGGGGAAAGGUUUACUGCCGGAAGAUCGGCCCGCGUCUGAUUAGCUAGUUGGUGGGGUAACGGCCUACCAAGGCGACGAUCAGUAGCUGGUCUGAGAGGAUGAUCAGCCACACUGGGACUGAGACACGGCCCAGACUCCUACGGGAGGCAGCAGUGGGGAAUAUUGGACAAUGGGCGCAAGCCUGAUCCAGCCAUGCCGCGUGAGUGAUGAAGGCCUUAGGGUUGUAAAGCUCUUUUAUCCGGGACGAUAAUGACGGUACCGGAGGAAUAAGCCCCGGCUAACUUCGUGCCAGCAGCCGCGGUAAUACGAAGGGGGCUAGCGUUGCUCGGAAUCACUGGGCGUAAAGGGCGCGUAGGCGGCGUUUUAAGUCGGGGGUGAAAGCCUGUGGCUCAACCACAGAAUGGCCUUCGAUACUGGGACGCUUGAGUAUGGUAGAGGUUGGUGGAACUGCGAGUGUAGAGGUGAAAUUCGUAGAUAUUCGCAAGAACACCGGUGGCGAAGGCGGCCAACUGGACCAUUACUGACGCUGAGGCGCGAAAGCGUGGGGAGCAAACAG